RNAcentral lists this long non-coding RNA (11601 nucleotides) under Nicotiana tabacum (common tobacco). Its description in RNAcentral is "long non-coding RNA (NTAB_LNC003874)". Lineage: Eukaryota; Viridiplantae; Streptophyta; Magnoliopsida; Solanales; Solanaceae. The record is from RNAcentral.
GAAAUACAAGCCCAAACCCGUUUAAAUUUCUUAGCCCAAAAAAUAAAGAAAUCCUAAAUCAGCUAAGGUAUCUAUUGUUUACUCCAUCACAUUCGCUCCCACAGUUUCACUCGUUCUAUUACCCCUUUGCUCUUUCAAGCAAAAGCUUCAGUAUUCUUAACCAUGGCAGAAGCUUGCCUCGACGAUUUUGAGUAAGUUCUUUGUCUCUCUUCAAAGCCCGUGACUCCUUCUCUCUCUCAUUUGCAAUGAGAUUUAGUCAACACAACAUGCCAAAAGACUUUUGCCAUUUCGAUUUUUCUGACCAAAUCACGUGAGGCUCUUCCGAAUUACAACGUUCGGAUUCAAACGGUUGUUUUGACUGAAAUUCAAGCCCUUGAUUUCAAAUUUCUGCUCAAGAGAUCCCGCCCAAAAAAUCAUCUCUGAACCCUAAUUUUCUUCUAUAAAUACUCUCGGGGAGUUUCUGGAGCGGGGGACACUGGACAAGAAUCAGAAAUACUAUUUUAUCACUCACAUAUUUGAUGUAGUCUACAACUCAAGAGUCUCUUACAAAAGUUUUCUGUCUCGGUGAACUUUAGCCGUGACAGAGAUUUUGGAACUCAUUCCGAUCGAGGUUCGAAUCUUUACAUAAUGAGAGAGUAGAUUAGGGGCCGACAUCGUCCUAGUUCACUGCCCCCAAACAAGUCAGUGCUCUUUCUUUCCCUUUCUUUCCUCUGACAUGUAGUUCAAAGAGUAUUGAUUUGAUUCUCUGAUAUUGUGUGUUUAGAUGCUAUGACUAUAGGAAUAUAUUAUUUCCAUGUAACUGAAUGAUAAAUGGCGAUAAAAAUGCUUAACGUGAUAUCAUGAUUUAGCUAACUUUAAUAGCUUGUUCUGGUCUAUUAACAGUAAAUGCUAAUAUACCUCACCUGUUACUGUUUGUCAUAUGAAAAAUUCAUGCUUCAAAAGUUCCGUCGUAGUCAGCUUUAUUUUCUUCCUUUCCCUUUUCAAUUACGGAAUUUGUAAGCUUGAAGGACCAAAGUCGGCACCACUUUUAAAAAAAUAUAUGAAAGCUAUCUUCUACGCCUUUUCUUUGUUAUUUCAAGAAUUCAAAUCGAUUUUGAGUUCAUUUUAAAUAGUUUUAAAAGUUCAAGUGUUAAACCCAUUUUCGCCACUUUAUAAUUCCUGGGCUACUUAUACAGAUAUGAUAACAAAAAAUAUUUUGCUACUGCCUAAAGGCCUUUUUACAUUAAGUUGAACUGUUAAUUUUUAGUCUUCACAUCAAGCUAACUGAUGCUUUUGGAAACGUAUCAACAGGUUUCGAUAUUUGAUUUAGCACUGCCCUUUUAAUAAUUAUAUUUUGCACACUUCUAUAUGUUUAGACUUAACACCUACCCUUAGCCUUAAUUAGUUUAAGUUCGGUCGGUUAACCAUUCGAUAUGGAUCUUAAAGGGUGCCUUAAAAACCUCCCCUUUAGAUUAAUUGAACCCUUACCUAGAACUUUAGGUUAAUUGGACCAUUAGCAGAGUUAUACUUUAUAAAAUUACUUUAAUCACUUUAGGUGUCCUAAUUCACCUUAGAAAUAAUUAGGUGGCGACUCUUAAAAUUAAUUAAACCUCGGAAUUACCAAUAUGUUAUACUCUAGUUUGACCUGGGUUAAAAUGGGAUAUAACACGCAUAUCGUGCCAUGCCGCCCCAACUUUGCCCACACUUCCUUGUCAAGCCUUUGCUAAGCAUGUCUUGCCUGCCCCAAGACCUUGGUCAAUACUUGCCCACAACAGCCCACACGACAAUGUCUUGUCCAUUGCGUGCAUGAUCGUUUUGCCCGCACAUAGGCUAAUGAUAAGGCCAUCAUGCCCAAUCCUUGCCACAACCGCGCCAUGCCUGAUGUUAAAGAGUUAGUCCCCUAACAUUCAUCCCUCUUGACGCUCCCACACCUAUUCAUAUAUAACCUAAUAGAAAUGUCCUUCUUCGUGUGUUUAUCUAUCAAAUCUUUGAGUGUUUUUUUCCACUAAAAAAGAAAAUAGAAAGUAUAUUUAUAAAAGAACGAGGAUAAAUGAAAAGGGAGAAAUUCUUUUUUUUUCCCCUUGUUUCUUCUUGUACAAGGGGCAAUGAUUUAGAUUUUUAAGUAGGGGGUAAAUUUCACAAAUGGUCAUAUAACUAUGAUUUGUUUUUCACCAAAGUCAUAUAAGUUUGUUUUCUCACACAAAAAUCAUAACAAUGGCUUUUUUUCACAAAAGUCAUAUAACUUUGGUUUCUCACACAAAAAUCAUAAAACUUUCACUAUCUCAGAUAAAAAUCAUAAAGGCCAUGAAACAAUUUUUUUUCUUAUUUUGCAUGCUUUUAUUUUUUAUUUUCAGUCUAAUAAAUAAUUACCCAAGUAAAAUAGGAGAAAUAUGAGCAUAUUUUUAGCCCUCCCAAAAAUAAUAGCUGAUAAAGUGUCAUAUAUAUCACACACAUACACACAUACACACACACACACACACACACACAUAUAUAUAUAUAUAUAUAUAUAUAUAUAUAUANNNNNNNNNNNNNNNNNNNNNNNNNACACACACACACACACACACACACACACAUAUAUAUAUAUAUAUAUAUAUAUAUAUAUAUGACAUUUUUCUAGCAAAUGUAAUUAAUUACGACCGAUCGGCUAAUUUUAUAUUUUGUCUUUAAAGUAGGAAUGACCUAGCAGAGCAUGGCCCAAUAACCAUAUACAAAUUAAAAUAAUACAAAAAGUGAAUAGUGAAUUAUUUAAAAUAUGAUACUUCUAUUUUAAUUGAGUCGGGUGGAUCAGGUCGGGUUGGGUCAUCCCUAUUUUAAUUGAAUUAUUAUUAAUUAGAAUGAAAAUAAAUAAAAAAACUACAAAAUAAAAAAUACUAUUGAAAAAUUGUAUUUUUCGAUCACUAUGAUCUUUGUGUGAGUUAGUAAAAGUUUUACGAUUUUUGUGUGAGAAAACAUAAUUAUAGGACUUUUGUAAAAAAAAAAAAGUAUUUAUAUAAUUUUUGGGUGAGAAAGUUAUAUGACUUUGGUGAAAAAAGUCAUAAUUAUAUAACAAUUUUUGAAAUUUACCCUUUUAAGUACGACGAGCAAAGAGCACAGAUAAUGGAAAAGGAGUAGUUUUCUUGGUAUACGACAAUUAAACCUUUAGUUACGUUUACUUUCUAUCCGCCCCUUUUUUCUCGCGAAAUCGGGUUUAUGACAUUUUUGGUUGGGACAACUCUUUCCUUUGGAAAGAGGGUUUGCAUUUUUGAAGAAUUGCCACCUAACGAUUUAAGGUGCGUUAGGGCACCUAUAGGGUUUAUUUAUAACCACGUUUGAUAAUCAGAGACAGAGUAAGUGCUUGAAAUUAUCCUAAAGGGAAGGUGUUAGGCACCCCUCAAGAUCCACUAGUGUGGUUUCCGACCAAACAGUUUUUGUGAAUUUGUACAAGUAGCAAAUAAACAAGUAUGGCUUUGAAAAGAAUUACAAUCUAAGCAUAUUUGGAAAUGUAAAUGGGGUAUCCUAGGUUUGUUUAUAGUAUGGAUCACAUCAAUGCAAUACCCGGUAUGACACUCCUCAAAGAGGGGCUACACAUGGUAUUAAGCACUGGUAAUCAUAUCCAUAUCUACCCGCCCCGUGAAGGUAAUUAAAGCGAGGGUUGGUCUCGACCCCUAUUGCAUGCUGUUACUCAUCCCUUCCUAUCAGUACCGGAGCAAUUUAGGACUCCUAUCCUAUAAAAGAGGGUUCUAGGCAGACCCUCAUGUUUAAAGGUAAAAUAGUAAGGCGACAUAUAAUAAACAAGUAGGACUUCAAUUAAGGGGAGCAUGGAAAACCAGUAAAAGGCUCAGAUAUACCUCCACAUACAGUACAUACAAACUACAUGACUCAUACACAAUUAAGGUCUAAAUUCAGAUCCUAAACAUGGUAUCUAAGUGAUAACAUCAGAGUCAGAUUUAUGACAUAACUCAAAUAAGAAGUCCUAAUCAAGCUUGCUACUGAUUUUAACAUGCUGACAGUCAAAAACUAAUCACAAAGACGAUUCUGAUUUUAUUUGAAGUUGAUUACCUAAGACUUGCCUAAGCGUAAAAUAAUGUGCAGCAGUUACUAGAAUUGUUGAAAUAGUUUGGAAGUUAUUUUACUUAAAACAUGUUGUUCUAAGUGUUGCAAAGACAUGCAGGGAUUGUGAUUAGUUUCACUUAAACAGGAUAAUCAAACAUGAGAUUGUUUUAUGCCCUUUUUCAUGCAUCAGUAGUUUAAUUAGGUGUAACUGAGCGAGUGUGAACAAGAUCCUAAAAUAGGGUAUAUAACAUGCACGUAUGAAAAUGCAGAAGGAUUGCAGAAUUCCUAAAGCAUGGAUUCUAAUGCAUGUAUGAAUCCUAAGCAUGGUUUCUAUUACGCAAUUAGGAAUAUAAACCUAAUAACAUGUUUUCUAUCCUUAACAACUAUAACAUGCAUAUUUACCCCAUCCCUUUUCACUAUCCAUCCCCAAAGAGUUUUUACAAUAAUUAUUACAAACCGAUGCUGAAAUGAAUUACACAAGUAAAAAGUAGAAAGUUACACAAUAGAGAGCCUGAAGACAAGACCAGAUUCUCAACACCUGAUGAGGACUUCCUCUUUGAGUUAUGUAAUAAAUUACCUCAAAUGUCAAGAUUGUUCCAUAGCCUUUCUCAUAUCUGAGUGUGUCAAAGUUCCCUAAGGACCUCAAGGGAUCCCAGACAGUGCUCACACCCAGAUUUCAUAGCAAAGAUAGAGUAAGUGCAGUGUGGAAGAGCCAACCUUAAUGUGUCAAAGUUCAGAGGGAGCUCAAGGGUCCCAAGGCAAUGCUCACACAAAAGGGGCAGAACUUAGUGGUCUAAGAGUAGAGUGAGAGUGCUCGACAUAGUUUUGAAGAAUUUAAGUAAGAAAACAAUUUUAAAAAAGGGUAAGCAAGAAACAGUUUUGAAAAAGAGAGACUUAAUUGGAAUAGUUAUAUGACAAAUUUUAAAUGAUGAAAACAAUUUGAAGGAGCAUGCAUACCAAUCUCCGAACCAAAACAAAGUCAGUAUCACACUAAGGACCAGGAAUAGUCCAGCAAACAUAAGCAAGGGAAUGGGAUUGGAGGGACAAAUAUGGAGCAUUUGACGGCAAACAUGUAGCAGGCAGGAACAUAUACAAGCACACGAUCAGAAACUCCAACAGGUUAGGGGAACAGUAGGGUAUUGGAUUAGAUUAACAUAUCAACAUCAAACAACUGAGACCCUGAUCAAACCAAUCAUGGGGGUUCACAUAAGAAACAUGUACUAAGUGUACAGAAACAUGCUUGUCAUUGACAAGUAAGGCAUAAUUUAACAUGUAGAGGGAACUCAGGAUCCUAAUUACAUUUUGAACAACAAAAAUAGUAAAUAAAAGCAUAUCAGAAGUGCAAGGAAUUGUAACAGUAAUAGAAACAUGUUGGUUUGAGGACUGAAAUAUGAAUUAGAACAUACUAGUGAAGUGAAGAAAGCAAAACACAAAGCAGAAAUAGGAGAGGUGCAGUAAUUAGCCUUGUCUAGCAGCCGGCUAGCUUGGAAUAGUAGCAAGUAGCACAAAAGAGAGAAUAGAGAGUUUUAGUUGUGAGAGAGAGUUUUGAACUACUAUGUUCGUGUCCAUGCUAAAGAGAGAGUAGAGUAUUUAUAGUUUUGAAAAUAGGCAGAAAAUAAGGUAACAAGUAAAGGUUUAGCAUAAUUAUAGAAAUAAUAUAAAUCAGAAUCAAUUAAAGACCCGGACUCUCUUCAAUUAGGGAGUCAUAGUUCAAAUGGGUACAAGUUGUAUCAAAUAAGGAACAAAAUUACUUAUAAGACUGAUUUUACCAUAAUAUGAGUAGUAAAAGUAUGUAGCAUGUAAUAAGGACUAAGUACAGAGUAUUUCCAAGUAAGGAAAGUACACGUUAAAUAACUAACAACAUAUUUGUGCACAUAAAUAAGGUGGAGUACAAUUUUAAUUCUGAAAGUUAGUUCAAAGAAUCACGAAUGAGAUUGAAAAUCACAGGGAAUCAGCACUAACUAAGGAAAGUAUCACAAAAGUAAGGAACCAAUUCGAAAAAUCAGUAUAGAAUUACAAGAAAAAUACACAAAAUCACAGAUUCAGGGAAGAUAUCGCAGGUCUAAGGAGAUUACACAAAAAUCAAUAUAAAUUAUUAUGUGAACAAUCAAUAAAACAAAUAGUCGGACCUAUUAAACAAUAAAUAACAUGUGUUGAACAAAAUCAGAGAAACCUUAAGAACAAAUUAGAGCAGGAAGCACAAGAGCUUAUAGAACAUACAUGAAACCUAGAAUGUUCAUGAGAGACAUGCAAACACAUCGCAAACAGACUCAUACUUCAAAUCGAACCCAUAAGUAUUAGGGUUUCUUAACAAAAAUGAAUCAAGCAAAAGGAAAGACUCAAGUGAUGUUUAAACAUGCUAAAAAUCACAAAGUAAUUGCUAAAAAUCAUAAAGAAAUCGUUUUUGCAAAAGGGUUUUGAAACCCUAGUCUGGAAAAUGAGGAAAUCGUUUGAAAUCAGAGAAAUCUUUUGAGGAAAAUAGGUGAGAAUCUUAAAAGACACAUAGAUCCUUCACAGGUCUAAAAAGAUCGGAGGAUUGAAAGCUAGGGUUUCCAGAGAAAACCCAAAGGAGGAGAAGAGAGCUUAAAAUAUCACCGGCCUUUGGCCGAAAAAUGUAGAGAUCUUACUCGAACGGCCAUAGGUGGCCGAAAAACAUGGCAUGAGAUUGGAGAUGGGAGUGGACUGCCUCAGGGUCACUUGAGAGCCUCCACCGGUGACACAAGUGUGAAAGACGAAUCCAUAAGGUCGAUGAGAGGUGAAAACUUCAUCGUUUCCGGCGAGGAGAUGGCCGGAGAGGGGAGAGACAGAGCUCAGGAGACGAAGGUUUUAGAAAGAGUUGAGAUGAUUUCGAGAGACGGGUGAGAAGUGAGACGGGGGAAAACUGAGAAAGGGGGGCAGUCGUUUAGGGGUUAAUAUGGUAAGUAUUAAUCUGGGCCGUUGAUUUGAAUUAAUCAACGACUCAGAUCGAACGAGAGUUGGGCCGGGUAAGAUUCUAAAUUUGUGUUGGGUAACUGGGCUAGUUUAUUGGGUUAGGGGUUUGGGUUAAUUAGGCUAGAAUUGAAAUUUAAAAAUGGCUAGUUGUUAAAUACCCCAUAAAAAUAGAUAAAUAAUUUAUAAAAAUGGCUAAUAAUUAUAAAAAAAGAAAUUGNNNNNNNNNNNNNNNNNNNNNNNNNNNNNNNNNNNNNNNNNNNNNNNNNNNNNNNNNNNNNNNNNNNNNNNNNNNNNNNNNNNNNNNNNNNNNNNNNNNNNNNNNNNNNNNNNNNNNNNNNNNNNNNNNNNNNNNNNNNNNNNNNNNNNNNNNNNNNNNNNNNNNNNNNNNNNNNNNNNNNNNNNNNNNNNNNNNNNNNNNNNNNNNNNNNNNNNNNNNNNNNNNNNNNNNNNNNGAAUGCAGAUGGAGACAACAUUUAGUCUCGGAAGGCAGAAUGGUAGCCUUAUGCAAGAAAUAAGAUAACAACUGGCAGUAGAGUUUUCUUAGCUGAUAGCAGAUUGCGGCGCUGUGAUUACUGGGAGCAUUGUGACAUACAGAACAUCACUGGUGUAUACUAAUAGCAAAUGUUGGCAAGUGCAACGGUUCUGAGAAUUGUAUUCUUGAACAAUGUUUGUCCCAUGGGCGUACAAUAUGUUUAAUGAUUUUGCAAUCCUAGUGCCUGCAUCCAAAGAAAAAUCGCGAGUUUUAUAAGGGGGAAGGUUAGUUCAUAUCCCCGCUGGCUUUGAUCUGGUAAUGCCGUCUGUAUUAUUGGGGUAGCGAUGCUAAACAAAUCAAUUUCAAUAAUAACAUGCAUGAUUUUAUAAAAGUAUGACAUAAAUUAAAAAAUAACUUUUAGAUGAACGAUGACUGUAACGUAGUUCAGGACAUUGUAACCUCUCUUGCUACAGAAUUUUGAGGGUCCUCCUUAAAACUCUGCCCCAGUUUGAUGGGUCGACGUUUCUGACUGCUGCUUGUACGGUGAUUGGCUGAAAUUACUUCGGAAUUUUGAGGGUCCUCCUCAAAAUUCUGCCCCAGUUUCCAAUUGCGGGGAAAAAUGAAAUUUUUAUUGAAUUGUGACAGAAACCAUAGGGCUGCCUACAUAUCCCCUCUUAAAUGAGAAUCAGGUCGGGCGUAGUUCAGUUUACGUCAUAUAAGGAAAGCAUGAAGAUUACACAUAGUAAUGCUUGACUGCAUCUGAAUUGAUCAGCUUUGGCCAGACUUCUCCGUCCAUUUCUGCAAGUAUGAGGGCUCCUCCUGUCAAAACCCGGUGAACCAUGUAUGGACCCUGCCAGUUGGGAGAGAAAUUCCCUUUGGCUUCAUCUUGAUGCGAAAAUUUUUUCUUUAACACCAGCUGCCCCGGUGCGAACUGUCUUGGCUUGACUCUUUUGUUGAAGGCUCUGGACAUUCUGUUCUGAUAGGGUUGACCAUGUCAGACUACAUUCAUUCUCUUUCCGUCUAUAAGGACUAGUUGCUCAUAAUGACUUUUUACCCACUCUGCGUCGUCAAGCUCAGCUUCUUGUAUGAUCCUUAGGGAAGGAGUUUCCACCUUAGCGGGAAUGACAGCCUCUGUACCGUAAACCAACAUAUAGGGGAUUGCCCCUGUUGAUGUGCGGACUGUGGUACGAUACCCUAGAAGAGCAAAUGAUAACUUCUCGUGCCACUUUCUGUGAUUCUUUAUCAUUUUCCUCAAUAUCUUCUUGAUAUUCUUGUUGGCGGCUUCUACAGCUCCAUUUAUUUAAGGCCUGUAGGCUGUGAAAUUCUUGUUUUUAAUCUUGAAAGUUUCGCACAUAGCUUUCAUCAAAUCGCUGUUGAGGUUGGAGCCAUUAUCAGUAAUGAUUGACUCUGGAAUUUCGAAUCGACAAACAAUGCAAUCGCGGACAAAGUCUGUCACGACUUUCUUAGUCACUGCUUUGUAAGAUGCUGCUUCGACCUAUUUGGUGAAAUAGUCGAUGGCUACCGGGAUAAACCUGUGUCCGUUAUAAGCAGCCGACUCGAUUGGUCCAAUAACGUUCAUUCCCCAAGCGGCGAAUGUCCACGAUGAGCUUGUUGUGUUAAGCUCGCUUGGAAGUACCUUUAUCAUGUCUGCAUGUAUCUUACUGUGAUGGCAUUUCCGGACAUACUGGAUGCAGUCCAUUUCCAUAGUUAUCCAAAGGUAACUUGCCCGGUGUAUCUUCCUUGCUAAGACAAAACUGUUCAUAUGUGGGCCGCAGGUCCCAACAUGAAUUUUCUCUAGUAGCCUUAAUGCUUCCAUUACGUCGACACAUCUUAAUAAUCCUAAAUCAGGAGUCCUCCUAUACAGGAUUCCUCCGCUAUGAAAAAAGUUGUUGGACAAUCUCCGAAAUGUGCGUUUCUGAGUAGGAUUCGCAAGCUCCGGGUACUCUCUUUUUGUUAAAUAUUCCUUGAUAUCAUGAAACUAAGGUUUUCCGUCUGCUUUCUCUUCAACAUGCGCACAGUAAGUUGGCUGAUUAUGGAUUUUCACCGGAAUGGGAUCAAUGAAAUUCUUGUCGGGAUGUUGUAUAAUAGAUGAUAGGGUAGCCAACACAUCGACGAACUCAUUCUGGAUUCUGGGAACAUGCUAGAAUUCCGUCUUCGUGAACCUCUUCCUCAAUUCCUAUACGUGAUGUAGAUACGAGAGUAUCUUGGAGUUCUUGGUUGUCCAUUCUCCUUGUACCUGAUGUAUAAGCAAGUCUGAAUCUCCAAUCACUAGCAGCUCUUGAAUAUUCAUGUCGAUGGCCAUUUUGAGUCCUAAGAUGCAGGCUUCAUACUCGGCCAUAUUGUUGGUGUAAGGGAACAUGAUUUUGGCAGAUACUGGAUAAUGCUGACCGAUUUUUGAUAUUAGAAUUGCUCCUAUGCCAACUCCUUUGAAGUUUGCUGCUCCAUCGAAGAACAUUCUCCAUCCGUCAUAGGAUUCCGCAAUGUCUUCUCCUAUGAAUGAUACCUCUUCAUCAGGAAAAUACAUUUUUAGGGAUUCGUAUCCUCCAUCCGCGGGGUUUUCAGCAAGGUGGUCUGCCAGUGCCUGUCCCUUGACCGCUUUCUAAGUUACGUAAACAAUGUUGAACUCACUCAACAGGAUUUGCCACUUGGCUAACUUGCCGAUGGGCAUGGGCUUCUGAAAGAUGUACUUUAAGGUAUCCAUUCUCGAUAUGAGAUAUGUAGUAUAGGUGCAGAAAUAAUGCCUCAGCUUCUGAGCUACCCAAGUCAAAGCACAACAGGUGCGUUCCAAUAGAGAAUACCGGACCUCGUAUGGGGUGAACUUCUUACUAAGAUAAUAAAUGGCUUGUUCCUUCCUCCCUGUUUCAUCAUGCUGCCCCAAAAUGCAGUCGAAAGCUCCAUAUAACACUGCAAGGUAGAGUAAUAAGGGUCUACCUGGCUCGGGCGAGACUAAGACUGGUGGUGUUGAUAGGUACUCCUUGAUUUUGUUGAAGGCCUUUUGGUAGUCAUCGGUCCAUUUGGUGGCGGUGUCCUUCUUUAACAUCUUAAAGAUCGGCUCACAGAUAACCGUAGACUGUGCUAUGAAUCGGCUGAUGUAGUUAAGCCUUCCCAAGAAACUCAUCACAUCCUUCUUGUUCCUUAGCGGUGGUAGUUCUUGAAUGGCUUUGACUUUCAAUGGGUCCAGUUCUAUUCCUCGGCGGCUAAAAAUAAACCCAAGCAAUUUCCCAGCAGGAACCCCAAAUGUGCACUUUGCGGGGUUUAGUUUUAGGUUGUAUCACCGCAGUCUAUUGAAGAACUUUCUUAGAUCUUCUAUGUGGUCAGUGGCCUUAUUGGAUUUGAUAAUAACAUCAUCCACAUAUACCUCUAUCUCCUUGUGUAUCAUAUCAUGGAAAAUAGUAGUCAUGGCCCUCAUGUAAGUGGCCCCUGCAUUCUUCAGGCCGAAUGACAUCAUCUUGUAACAGUACACUCCCCACGGCGUAAUGAAAGCCAUUUUCUCAACAUCUUCCUCAUCCAUCCAGAUCUGAUGAUAACCAACGAAGCAAUCUACGAAUGACUGUAGCUCAUGCUUCGCGCAAUUGUCAUUCAAGAUGUGUAUAUUUGGCAAAGGGAAGUCAUCUUUCAGACUGGCCCCGUUGAGAUCCCGGUAGUCGAUAUAGACUUUUACCUUCCCAUCCUUCUUUGGCACUGGCACAAUGUUGGCUAACCAUGUCGGGUAUUCUACUACCCUGAGAACCUUAGCGUUGAUCUUCUUGGUGACUUCUUUCUUGAUUUUCAAACUCAUAUCAGGCUUAAACUUUCUAAGCUUUUGCUUUAUCGGUGGACACAUUGGAUCGGUUGGCAGUUUGUGAGCCACAAUUGACGUACUCAGACCAAUCAUGUCAUCAUACGACUAUGCGAAUAUGUCCCCAUACUCCUUUAGAAAUUAUAUGUAUUCUUUCUUCUCUGAUGGAGAUAGGUGAAUGUUGAUUCGUGUUUCCUUGACGUUUUUUGUACCUCCCAGGUUGGCAAUUUCGGUCUCGUCCAGGUUGGACUUAUGUCUGUUCUCAAAGUUCUCAACUUCUUUGACAAUCUUGUCAGGUAUGUCAUCUUCUUCUAAAUCCAUGUCCGUUUGUUGCAUUGUCUUAUUGCAUAUCACAGUCAUUGGUUCAUCAAGACAAGUAAUUGUAAUGUUGUAUUGGUAAAGUAAGGAG